AAACGGUAAACAGAGCUGUUUUCUCCUCUGUCACUCCUGUCAUACCCAUGAUAUGAUUCUACCCGCUGAGCCCUGGAUGCCAGAGGGUUGACAUAUGGUGUCAGAAAGUGGGAACUGAAUCGAUCUCACCUUCAUGGACUGGCAUCCUCUGGAAAUGGCUACAAUACCUACACGAGUCCCUUGUGUUCACCACUUCUAUGGACCGCUAGUUCCUCCAAUAGCUUGUAACCUCUCCAGAAACUCUUAUCUAAACCAUCCCUGAUUCCUAAGACUGAAGCAGAAAAAAAAAGAGAAGAAGCUUUUAGAGGUGAAGACUGCUAUGGAAGCACCCUUGCUCAAAAAUCUAGUUUAAGGAAAAAUUUUAAAUGAAGGCUAAAAUAUCUCUGUUUGCUGUCUGUGUGUUUGUGUGUGUGUUCAUAUAUGUAUGUUAUAAAUAUAUAAUAUUUUUCUACCUCUGGAUAGUAUUGUCAAG
RNAcentral lists this long non-coding RNA (472 nucleotides) under Equus caballus (horse). RNAcentral's name for it is "lncRNA (ENSECAG00000050771.1)". Lineage: Eukaryota; Metazoa; Chordata; Mammalia; Perissodactyla; Equidae. The record is from RNAcentral.